Molecule: ribosomal RNA, 1400 nt
Filed under: Escherichia coli
Lineage: Bacteria; Pseudomonadati; Pseudomonadota; Gammaproteobacteria; Enterobacterales; Enterobacteriaceae
Description: partial 23S ribosomal RNA
Rfam family: Bacterial large subunit ribosomal RNA
Source: RNAcentral
CAAGGCUGAGGCGUGAUGACGAGGCACUACGGUGCUGAAGCGACAAAUGCCCUGCUUCCAGGAAAAGCCUCUAAGCAUCAGGUAACAUCAAAUCGUACCCCAAACCGACACAGGUGGUCAGGUAGAGAAUACCAAGGCGCUUGAGAGAACUCGGGUGAAGGAACUAGGCAAAAUGGUGCCGUAACUUCGGGAGAAGGCACGCUGAUAUGUAGGUGAAGCGACUUGCUCGUGGAGCUGAAAUCAGUCGAAGAUACCAGCUGGCUGCAACUGUUUAUUAAAAACACAGCACUGUGCAAACACGAAAGUGGACGUAUACGGUGUGACGCCUGCCCGGUGCCGGAAGGUUAAUUGAUGGGGUUAGCGGUAACGCGAAGCUCUUGAUCGAAGCCCCGGUAAACGGCGGCCGUAACUAUAACGGUCCUAAGGUAGCGAAAUUCCUUGUCGGGUAAGUUCCGACCUGCACGAAUGGCGUAAUGAUGGCCAGGCUGUCUCCACCCGAGACUCAGUGAAAUUGAACUCGCUGUGAAGAUGCAGUGUACCCGCGGCAAGACGGAAAGACCCCGUGAACCUUUACUAUAGCUUGACACUGAACAUUGAGCCUUGAUGUGUAGGAUAGGUGGGAGGCUUUGAAGUGUGGACGCCAGUCUGCAUGGAGCCGACCUUGAAAUACCACCCUUUAAUGUUUGAUGUUCUAACGUGGGCCCCUUACCGGGGUUGCGGACAGUGUCUGGUGGGUAGUUUGACUGGGGCGGUCUCCUCCUAAAGAGUAACGGAGGAGCACGAAGGUUGGCUAAUCCUGGUCGGACAUCAGGAGGUUAGUGCAAUGGCAUAAGCCAGCUUGACUGCGAGCGUGACGGCGCGAGCAGGUGCGAAAGCAGGUCAUAGUGAUCCGGUGGUUCUGAAUGGAAGGGCCAUCGCUCAACGGAUAAAAGGUACUCCGGGGAUAACAGGCUGAUACCGCCCAAGAGUUCAUAUCGACGGCGGUGUUUGGCACCUCGAUGUCGGCUCAUCACAUCCUGGGGCUGAAGUAGGUCCCAAGGGUAUGGCUGUUCGCCAUUUAAAGUGGUACGCGAGCUGGGUUUAGAACGUCGUGAGACAGUUCGGUCCCUAUCUGCCGUGGGCGCUGGAGAACUGAGGGGGGCUGCUCCUAGUACGAGAGGACCGGAGUGGACGCAUCACUGGUGUUCGGGUUGUCAUGCCAAUGGCACUGCCCGGUAGCUAAAUGCGGAAGAGAUAAGUGCUGAAAGCAUCUAAGCACGAAACUUGCCCCGAGAUGAGUUCUCCCUGACUCCUUGAGAGUCCUGAAGGAACGUUGAAGACGACGACGUUGAUAGGCCGGGUGUGUAAGCGCAGCGAUGCGUUGAGCUAACCGGUACUAAUGAACCGUGAGGCUUAACCUU